AACGUACGCUGGCGGCACGCCUAACACAUGCAAGUCGAACGAAGUAGCAAUACUUAGUGGCAGACGGGUGAGUAACAUGUAGGUAUCUGCCCUUUGGCCUGGAAUAACACGAGGAAACUUGUGCUAAUACCGGAUAAGUCUUUACGGAGAAAGCUUUAUGCACCAUUGGAUGAGCCUGCACUUGAUUAGUUUGUUGGUGGGGUAAUGGCCUACCAAGACUGUGAUCAAUAGCUGAUUUGAGAGGAUGAUCAGCCACAUUGGGACUGAGACACGGCCCAAACUCCUACGGGAGGCAGCAGUGGGGAAUCUUGCACAAUGGAGGAAACUCUGAUGCAGCGAUGCCGCGUGAGUGAAGAAGGCCCUUGGGUUGUAAAGCUCUUUCGUCGGGGAAGAAAAUGACUGUACCCGAAUAAGAAGGUCCGGCUAACUUCGUGCCAGCAGCCGCGGUAAUACGAAGGGACCUAGCGUAGUUCGGAAUUACUGGGCUUAAAGAGUUCGUAGGUGGUUGAAAAAGUUAGUGGUGAAAUCCCAGAGCUUAACUCUGGAACUGCCAUUAAAACUUUUCAGCUAGAGUAUGAUAGAGGAAAGCAGAAUUUCUAGUGUAGAGGUGAAAUUCGUAGAUAUUAGAAAGAAUACCAAUUGCGAAGGCAGCUUUCUGGAUCAUUACUGACACUGAGGAACGAAAGCAUGGGUAGCGAAGAGGAUUAGAUACCCUCGUAGUCCAUGCCGUAAACGAUGUGUGUUAGACGUUGGAAAUUUAUUUUCAGUGUCGCAGGGAAACCGAUAAACACACCGCCUGGGGAGUACGACCGCAAGGUUAAAACUCAAAUGAAUUGACGGGGACCCGCACAAGUAGUGGAGCAUGUGGUUUAAUUCGAAGAUACGCGCAGAACCUUACCAACACUUGACAUGUUCGUCGCGACUCUAAGAGAUUAGAGUUUUCGGUUCGGCCGGACGAAACACAGGUGCUGCAUGGCUGUCGUCAGCUCGUGUCGUGAGAUGUUGGGUUAAGUCCCGCAACGAGCGCAACCCUCACUUUUAGUUGCCAUCAUUGAGUUGGGCACUCUGAAAGAACUGCCAGUGAUAAGCUGGAGGAAGGUGGGGAUGACGUCAAGUCCUCAUGGCCCUUACGUGUUGGGCUACACACGUGCUACAAUGGUAUCUACAACAGGAAGCAAGACUGCGAAGUUAAGCAAAUCCCUAAAAGAUACCUCAGUUCGGAUUGCACUCUGCAACUCGAGUGCAUGAAGCUGGAAUUACUAGUAAUCGUGGAUCAGCGUGCCACGGUGAAUGCGUUCCCGGGUCU
RNAcentral lists this ribosomal RNA (1306 nucleotides) under uncultured bacterium. RNAcentral describes it as "bacterial SSU rRNA". It matches the Rfam family "Bacterial small subunit ribosomal RNA", at positions 28 to 1381 of the family's 1533-position model. The record is from RNAcentral.